AUCCAACACAAUUAUGAUUUGUUUUGCUGCUCAAAUGGCUCUAGCUCAGUACCAUUGGCUUAUUUCUACACACCUUCAUCCUUUAAAAAACAAUUUAUUUAAAUUUUUUUUUUCCUCCCUCUAAUUGUACUCUAAAAGCAUGUCUGUUUCUGUUGGGUAGGUAGGGGGAGGUGGAUGUAGGGUUGGAAAGAGUCUAAAGUGGAAAGAGGCUGAAGUGUCCUGUUGGGUCUUGCGGCCUUCCAGGACUUCCUUGGGGUGGAAGGAACCUUGGACACAGGGCAGCUGAGUGCCCUGAGUCAUGUGGUUGUUGCUGUUUAAAUUAUUUGCUGUGAGCAGGGUCCUGAGUGUUGCCUUGAUUCCAGCUGUGGACAACAACAGGCCUAACACGUCAUCUCAAUGUCUCUGGAAUUAAUACCUGAUAGAAGAGAGAGGAAUCCCAGCUUCUCAUUUCCAGUCCAGUACUAUUUCUGUGUUCUCGAAAAAGCUUAAGGCUGACUGUGGCACUUCUGAGGAUAUACCAUCUGGUUGUCUCUCAGCUCUGUGGAUUUUGAAACACGAGGAAAGACGGAAAGAGUGGUAGCUCCUUGGGCGUGUGUAAACUUUAUGAAAGUGAUAAUUUCAUUCCUAUUUUCAUUGGGGAAGGCAGUGAUGCUGCCAAGUAAUGAGUGCUUGAUGCCUCAGAUAAAAUGGGUGUCUGUGUUAAGAAUCUCGGUGUUGAAUUGCCCUCUUGGCAUCCCAGCCCUCAGCUGCUUUCUUCUAGUGGUCACCUGAUACAUCUGGCUGAACAACUUCUAAUCCCUGUGCUCUCGUCCGUGACUAACCGGUGCUUCUCUUGCUGGCUUAGUCUUCAGGGAUCACAGGACAGCUUGGCUUCUUCCUUCCUCAGGCAAUGUACUGUUGAUGCCAGCCAUGGGGGACUUCAUGUAACGCAAUACAGACACUUGGAAUCGCUGAGUCACUUCAUAGUGAUGUCCGUGCCCGUGAAUGUGAGAGAGCAGUGUGGAAGUCAAACAGACUAUAAGGACAUUACCAGACUUUUAAGACACUCUAGGUUUUCCCACAUUUCUGUUAAAUGUUUUUCCAUGUAAUGGAUUCAGGUUAAGUCAAGAAGAAUUUUCUCAUACUAACAAUUGAGAUACGUACAUGAGAUAUUCCUUAUGCGAUUAUAUUUGUGAAAGUAGCUUAGAUCAAAUGAAUAGCCCUUCAAUUCUUUCUUGCUAUAUAGAUUCUUUUCUCUAUUAUUUUCUGUUUUGGCAGUCUAUCCAUAAUUUGAAAGAUAAAUUUAAUUGUACAGUAGUUUUAGAUGGAUAUGCCAUCAGUUUGAACUGGUGACAAAUAGUCCCAAUCUGACAGUUUAGACUCUCUCUCAAGACUAAAUGUGCAAGGCUAAGAGAAGCUCUGAUGCCCCUGGCAGGCAGAGAGCAUGGAGUGCUGGACAGGUGAGCUGUUAAACUCUCUUUCUCUAGUUGUUUAUCUUUGAGUCCUCGUUUUCUAAAAAGAAGAAUUCUAAACUUGAAUCCCGAUUGUCUAAAAAAGUUUAUUCUUUCAAAAUAUAUUUACUAAGCCAGAUUUUACUAAAUCUUCAAAAUUUGCUAUGUAUUUUAUACUUACAGCACAUCUCAAUUGAACUAGCUACAUGUUAAAUAUUGAACAGCCUCUAUGAUUAGUGGCUACUGGACUGGGCAAUGCAGGUUUACCAACACCCUGUACGUCAUCACACAAGUAAAUAUUUAGAUUAUAAUGGUAACAAGCACUUGGGGAGACUUUGGGAAUGCUGAAGGUGAGAAGUGAGGCAUGAGUUGGAGUUAGCCAGAAAGAAGGGAGAAUAUUCCAGGCAAAGGGAACGUCUGUGUCAUGACUUUGAGUUGAAAGGAGUGAAAAGGAGGCCAGUAGGCUCAAAUUUGUGAGUGACAGAAAAAUGAUGGAACUAAGAACAGAGAGAGAGAAAUCUAGUUUUAGAGGAAGAUAAAUUUGGUUUUAAGAUGUUGACUUUCAGGUGCAAAAGAUAGCGAUAUGGGAUAGGAAAAUGGGAGGGAGGAAGAACUGGAGAUUUAGCCUGCAGAGUUGAUGGAGCUGGCAAGUUACAUCUUUUGUUGAAGUCCUAACGUCUAGACUUCUUUUCAGGGGCCACUCGUUAGGUGGGCUGGAGACCACAAUGGGGAGGAAGGGGGGCAAGUUAGUUAAAUAGAUCAGGAGGGGGAAGAGGUAGAGAGUGAGUACAGACUCUGUCCUAGAGAGGGCCAAAGGUCAUGAAGGAGAGACUAAACUCAAUGGUGAAUUCUUGGGGCCAAGAGGAAAAGGAAUGGAAGGUUAAGUCAAAGAGGUAGAAGCCUGGAGAGGUGGAAUGAAGUCAGGAAGCAGGAAUAAGAAGGGGAGGCAUCAAAGUCAGCAGGUCAAAGUUGCAGGUCCUUCUAGUUGUGGGAUGUGGGACGCCGCCUCAAUGUGGCCUAACUAGUGGUGCCAUGUCCGCGCCCAGGAUCCGAACCCGGGGCCGCCGCAGCGGAAUGUAUGAACUUAACCACUCGGCCACGGAGCCAGCCCCCCAAUAGGCACUUUAAACAACUAUCACGUUACCAACACGUCUACCCACUGACGGUUUCAGAGGACAUGAGCCAGAGACUGAAGAGGCCCUCUAAGCGCCACAGUAUGCUUCUAAGCCUGCAGAGAAACCUUCCCUGUUUGGUCACUGUGGGAAACCUGCUCCAACUGUUACCUCCCAUGCUCUGACAAUCUGGCAAGCAAGGUGUCUGCUGCUCUCAGCAAAUCUUAAAGAGAUGGUGGUGACGAAAACUGAUAUUUAUCUUUCAGAUGGUGAAGUCUCUCCUCUACCUGUCACCAGGAGAAGGCAGGGCAUUCCUAGGUCACCAGGCCUUUGGUCAACAACCACUAAUUUUAAAGCUUGAAUUCUAGCAUGAUUCACUUACAGCUUGCUGUGUCCAUGCUGAGAUCCCAUGAAGAAGCCUGGUCCAUAAGCUCCCGGAAUUUGUGUUUUCCACCCUCUCACCUGGAAUGCUGAAACAGCAAAGUCUUCUCUUGGCGGCCGUGAGAGAAUGCGGCAGUUGGUGAGAUGGGCACUGAGCCUAUUUGAAGACCCACUUGCAAGCUGGGCACUGACUGCAAAUGCUGCAAUUAAAAGCAAAACAAAACAAAACCAUCCUACAGACCAAAUGCCUUUUAGCAGGGAAAAAGCUAUGCUGUGUUAAAAUAAUGGGAUGGUGUUUUUCUGCGGGGGUGAUCCUGGUUUCCAAGAAAGGGUGAUAUUUGUGAAGAUCGUAAUGUCUAUUCUCCAGGUCUUAGCUCUGAUAGUACUCUCUCCUCCUCCUCACUGAAAGUUAAGAAUGAAGGGGGCAUGAAUAAUCAGGGGUAACAAUGUACGGGAUAGAGUAAUCAUAAACGAAGACUGGAAGAGUAAUUUUUAAUCUAGGCUUGUCAAAAUAACUGUGUCUACAUUUACUGAUUAUGUUGAUUAAACAAUGAUUAAGGGUUGUGCUAAAUCAUGCUGGAACAAUGCAGACUUAAAAAAAUUUUUAGUAAAUUAAGAGAAACUGUGAUUAGGUCUUUGAUUGUAAGCCAUCCUCUUGGAUGACAGUGCAUUCAGGACUUCUGUGAAUGGGAAAGGAGAGAGAAGGGAGAGGUGGUGGAGGAGGUGGGAAGCUGCACAGGACCAGAUCAUUCAGGGCCUGAAGGUCAUUACUAGGAGGUGGGAUUGUAUUCUAAGUGUAAUAAGAAGUUGGGGGUGUGUUUUACACUGGGGAGUGUUCACAAGAUCUGAUUUGUGCUUUUAGAAGCUUACUCUGGCUGCCCUGGGGUACAGCCAUAUUGGAUCCAGAGGGAGAAUGAAGAUCCCAUUCUCAUUCUGGUCAGGUAGCUGGCGAAAGGCCUGAUUCCCAAGUGACGCUGGCAACAAAUGGAAACAACUCAGGCAUGAAAGCAGCAGGACAGCACUGUGGCAAGAGGUUUCCACCGUGCUCAUUUCUUCCCGACUUGCUAAUGCAGCCAGAAUCAAAGGAAAUCUAACAUGUAAAAAGACUAUUUUGAAGUUUUAUUUAAAGACAAGCCAUGCUUAGGAACAGGUUUGAAAAACUUAAAAAUGUGAUGAUAAAUGUCAGGCUUGCCAUGCUUAGGCGGCUGGCACGCAACUAUGCUGAACAGACUCCCAACCGAAGGUUCCCUUGCAGGCUUCUCAAUACUGCUUCUCAAGGCUAAGCCCACCCUGAAGAGGAGUCAAAAGGGACUUGGCUCCAGAAGGACCAUCUGGGGUUUGAAGUCCACCCCUCUCCCUCCCCAUUGAGGCAGACUUCCUCCACUUGUGGGCCACGCCCCUUUCAUCCAGGGGGUCGGCAUCUCUUCCCCUGUAGCCCCGCCUCUUCGAGGCGUGGAUGCACUGUGCCCUUUUGCAGUUCACUGUGCAGAUGGCAGACAGGCAGCUCAUCUCUGUCAGCUGAUUUUCAGUGUGAACUUUCUUUAUUAUGGAGAGGAGAUUUCAAGGUACAGAUUACAUGCAAUCCUUCUUAUCCUCCUUUGUUUGGAGUCAGUUAGUGAUUAAGAAGUCCCUCAUUUUGCCCCUCUGCCUUAGCUGAAGGAAGCCAGGGUGCACGCUGGUAACCCCUCUGCAUGUGUCUGCCUAACUGACCUCUUCCUUUCUGUUCCAUCCUGGGUUCCGCCCUCCAGAGCUGGACUGGAGCAGUUCUGCUGACCUGUUUGUGCUUCUGAGCUUUCUGGAGAAGCAAAGUCCAUUUAGGUGUGGCCAUAGGCUUAUCUCUUUAGCUGCAGGCUGGGGUGACUUUUCUUGAAGCUGUGUGAACCUCUAGGCUGUUAGCAGGCUCUUGAUUUUGCCCUCAGGCCUGGCCAGGCUCACAUUUUCUUUGCCACAGUCUCCCUGGCCUGUCCUGCUCGCUUGUGUCUCCUGUCUCAAUGCGCACAAUCUCUUCUCUAGCAAGGCCUUAGCUUUCUAGUCUGGCUUUCUCUGUUGAACCUCAUCUCUCUUUACAAGACUCAUCAUGUAACCUUCUAGACACAGGUUAGCAUGCCCUUUCCUGUCAUUUUUUACCUCUUGAGCCCUGGGACUUGAUAAAUGUGAAACAAACUUCCUCUCAUGUCAUAUCCCAGGGCCUCUAUGCAAUAAAUUUUAUAACUUUAAUAGAUUUUGGAAAUUCAACUCAGUUAUUUUAAAGGUCAUCUCUGUGGAGUUUUAUUAAUUAAAUUUCUUUUAAAGUUUUUUGAAAAGUUAAUAUUUCUGUUUCAAAAUUUCUCCCUCUAUAUGCAACUUUCUAAGUAUCGGGACCCCCUGAAUUUAUUAACCUAUCUCUCUAAAAAUCUAUUGCUUUUCUUAAAGAGUAUUGUGCUAUGUAUAUCUAAAGUGAAAUGGUUUUUAUAAAAAGCACUCAGAAUAUUUUUAAAUGUACAUUUUGGACUUUAAGCUGGGAUGCGUCAAAUCUUUUUGCACUUAAAAGUAAUUAUAGUUCUAAUUUUUAAAAGAGGUAAACUCUAGGGCUGGCCCCGUGGCCGAGUGGUUAAGUUCGCGUGCUCCGCUGCAGGCGGCCCAGUGUUUCGUCGGUUCAAAUCCUGGGCGCGGACAUGGCACUGCUCGUCAGACCACGCUGAGGCAGCAUCCCACAUGCCACAACUAGAGGAACCCACAACGAAGAAUACACAACUAUGUACCGGGGGGCUUUGGGGAGAAAAAGGAAAAAAUAAAAUCUUUAAAAAAAAAAAAAAAGAGGUAAACUCUAAUAAUUAUGUCCCUGUGUGCAUUAGUAAAAAUGGGUAUUUCUAUUCUUAUGGAGCAAAGGUUCACUGGAAUUGCCUCUUCGCCCAGCAUUCUGGCUUGGUUGGAGGGCGUGAGGAAGGAUUAGGGUCCCGGGGAAGAGUCUAGCCUUCACUGUUUCACAAAUGCAGGCUUAAUGGGCCGGUUAGAGGAAGAAUCAGCGUUUGCCUUGAAUCCGGCUUAGGUCAAGUUUUGGGACUUACAGUGACUUCUUGGAACUUAGGGCAACUCACUGACCAUUCUUGGACCUUUUUUCCCCAGUUGUAAAUUCCCUUGUGGCUUAAUUAUAUAUGAAAAUGUAAACAUACAAGAGUCACUAAGCAGCCUAUGACGAGAUCAAAUUGCCUGUGAAUUCUCGACUGGCCUUUUGUUAGAUUACACAUUAGUAUUUCCUGGUAGUGGACGAUGAAGUAGGUGUUCAUAACCUUUUGAGACUCGAACAGAAAAGCGUUGGCAUAAAAUCCAGUAUUCAUUGGCUUUGAAGGGGACCCACGUGGACAGCCUCUUCCUUCUCGUCCCUACUCCUGACUUAGAAAAGCAGGUGCCUUCACAGUGAUCUUCGAGUCUUUGUGGAAUCCCAUAGCUGCACUCUUUGCUUCACCUUAAUCUAUGGCUUUUAAUGAUUUAUGCAUCACCGGAGCCUAUUAUGAGAGUCUUUUCUUCUUAAAAAAUUAAGAACAAAAGGGAAUACAGUUCAGAGGUAUCAUCUUUUUUCUUUCUCUCUAUUUGUAUUCCUCCCACUAUUUCCAUUAAGAUGAUUUUUAAAAAUUUAUACAAGCACUCCAUGUUCACUGUGGAAAAAUUAGAAAAUAUAGAAUAGCAAAAGAAAAAAAAUUUACCCCCAAUUCCACCAUGUGGAGGUGACGAAUUGAGUUUACAGCAAUGUUCUGUUGGGAUGCACACCAGCCUCUGUGAACACUUCCCGGGGCUGCUGUCUACGUGGGUCGCUGUAUAAAACUUACUCUCACCAGAACCAGGGAGACAAACUGUUCCUGAGACUAAGUAUAGAAGGAGAAUGCGAAAGUGGUAACACCACAGUGUGAUGCGCAACUGGUGCCAAGGAAAGAUGGCACUGGAUGCGUGUUUGCCAUCCUGUGGACCCACUCGGCUUUGUGAGGACAGAGGAGGUCCCCGCAGGGCAGUAGACAGUUUGGCUCAAACAGAUUCGAACUGCAGAAGGACAAACUGAAGAGUAUGGGAUUACGGUGGGGUGGCUUAGUGCUUUUUUCUUUAAAAAGUCUUUGAAUUCUUUUAAGUGUCUGGCCUCAUGAUGAAAGGAACAUUUUUUGAAAUAACUCUGAGCUCUACUACUACUUGUUAAAUUAGCAAAAAGUUAGUUACAAUGGCAAAAUCCAACGCGAAUGGAGGUGUGGGAAAAUAGAUAUAUUCAUAUGUUGCUAGGUGAUAUUUAAAUGGUUCCAGUGAUUCUGGAGUGUACUUUGUCUGAUUAUGAUAAGAGCAAUAAAACUAAUUUUGUGCCCUUUUACUCAGUUAUCACUGAUAUUAUGGGAUAUAGCUUGAGAAAAUAAUCAAAAAAAAGAAAGCAAUUUAUAUAAAGACAGUUAUAGUUUGUUGACCUUUUUAGGUUUUUUUGGAAGGUUAGCCCUGAGCUAACAUCUGCCACCAAUCCUCCUCUUUUUUGCUGAGGAAGACUGGCCCGGGCUAACAUCCAUGCCCAUUGUCUUCUGCUUUAUAUGUAGGAUGCCUGCCACAGCAUGGCUUGACGAGCAGUGUGUAGGUCCGCACCUGGGAUCCGAACCGGUGAAUCCCAGGCCACCAAAGAGGAAUGUGCCACUGGGCUGUCCCACGGGGCCUGCCCCGAAACAAGACAGUUAUAGUUUAAAUUAUAGGUAAUCAUGAAAAGCAUAGUCAAGAGACUCACCUUCUAUUUUAUCAUCAUCAGAAAUGUGUUGUAUCCACUCAGGAGAGCUCUUCUAAGUAUCGAAGUUGUUGACUGGUGGCUGAGCCUACAGCUGUAGGAGAGAAGUCCCUUCUGUUGGAGUGGAAGCCUCUUUUGUGAAGUGGAUUGUAUGGGUAGACCAUACAAUCAGUGACUUUCUGUACAGAAUAAGCUGCUUGUGGAUUUCCUUUAUUCCAGCCAAAUUUCCUAAUAUAUACAGUAAUGUUGGUUGGGAAGAUAAUGGAAUACAAAAUUACAGGAAUCUAAGAGGACAUCUUGUUAAGCUCACUAGCUGAGACAGGUACAUGCUCUAAGUACAUAGGUGGACGCCUGGUCAUCGCUUGAUCAAUUAAUUACCUCUUGGGGCAAUUUGUUAGAAGCUCCAUUAUUUAGAAAGUUCUUCCUAUGUUAAAACAAAGUCAACCUACUUGCUAUUUCUGCCUGUUAAUUCCAUUUCAGCCUUCUGAGGACUUAUAGAAUAAACCUGGUUUCCCUCUAAGUCCUCUUUUUCUCCCCAGGCUGAAAAGCCUUAGCUCUUUCAGACUCUCCUCAGAUGUUCAACACAUGGUUAUUUUUCUUUGGAAGUGUUCCAGGUUGUUGAUGUUCUCCUUAAAGCACUGCGGAAGAAAUGACAAUACCCUGGGUGCAGUAACAUCGCAAUGGAGGCCUACAGGAUAGUUCAUUCUUGACAACCUACUUUUGUGAAUAUUAAGACCUCAUUAGCUUUUAUCCGUGCCAUUUACCCAUAUUGCAUGUGUAUACAACUAAAACUCCUUAGUAUUUUCAUUUCUGUGGCUGUUCGAGUUCUUCUCCUCUAUCCGACAGAAUUGCUUAUUUGAAUCUGAGUACAGUUCUUCAUUUAUUUGUAUAUGUAUAAUCUUUUUGAUGAAGAGUAAUUUAGAUACAGUAACAAGCAUUAAUCUGAAUUUUUGCAUAUAUAAGUGUCCAUCUAAUUACCAUCUAGAUCAACAUAGAAUUUUCCCAGCAACCCAGAAGGUUCUCUCACGCCCCCUCAUAGUCAGCAGCUCCCCAAAUGCAACCACCAUUCUGACCUCUCUUACCAUAGAUUAAUUGUGCCUGUUUGAACUUUGUAUAAUUGAAAUCAUGCAAUUCCAAUUCUCACAUUGGUGUCCAUGAGAUUUAUUUAUAUUGUUGACAGAGGCAGAAGCUCAUUUUUUUUUUUUUUUUUGCUAUGUAGCAUUCCAUGGUAUGAAUUAUACCACAAUUUAUUUGUCUAUGUAAUGGUUUGGCUAUUUUGAAUAAAGCUACCAUAACAAUUCUGGUACAUGUCUUUUGGAAGAUAUAAGUACUCAUAUUUGUUGGUGACAUACUCAGGAGUAGAAUUAUUGGGUCAUGGGGUAUAUACAUGUUUUGCUUAGUACAUACUGCUGAUUUUCCAAAGUUGUUGUUUCAGUUUAUAUUCUCACCAGUGAUGUAUAGAGUUCCAGUUCUCCAUAUCUUCUCCAGUACCAGUUAUCAUUGUCUUUCUAAUUUUAGUCAUUUUAAAGAGAUAUAUGGUGUUAACUCAUUGUUGUUUUAAUUUGUGUUUUCCUGAUUAUCUACAUAAUUUUGAAGUAGAAUUAAUUGCAUGAUUUGGCUGUAUUAAUUCAUCUUGGAUAGCCACUUUGUUAUCCCAUGAAUUCACAAUUCCACCUAGCUUCUUGUGACCUACUCAUUUUAUUAAUAUCCCCCAUGGGGAUGUAGACAGAAUGUAGUAUCAAGCCCCUCUAAGUUGAUAUCAAUGUUUUGAUUGGCAUCCUUGGGUAGGUCAUUCAACCAGUUAUGAAAUCAGCCUAACUGUAUGACUAUCACCUUUCACCAUGCUCUCAAUAAAGUUAUCUAGGAAUGUUGAAAUUCAGAUCCUCCCUUGCCUAUAGUAUUCUGAUCUAUCAAUUUAGUUGGUACUCCUAUCAAAAAAUGAAGUUUAAGUUGGUAUUCUUUGUAAAUCCAGAAUGCCUCCUAUUAGUCAUUUACUCCCUCUUAUGAGCUCACCAAUUAUCCUUUUGAUAACCUGUUCUAACGUUUUUCCUAAAGAUACAUCUUCCAUUUUAUAAAUGUAUGACAGCAUUUGCAACUUCUUACUUGAAACAAAAGUAUGGUUUAGAAUGGUCUCCUUGUUUCAUUCAAUUGCUG
RNAcentral lists this long non-coding RNA (9800 nucleotides) under Equus caballus (horse). RNAcentral describes it as "lncRNA (ENSECAG00000057816.1)". Lineage: Eukaryota; Metazoa; Chordata; Mammalia; Perissodactyla; Equidae. The record is from RNAcentral.